This is a long non-coding RNA of Helianthus annuus (common sunflower), 363 nucleotides long. RefSeq lists it as uncharacterized. The record is from RefSeq and is a predicted model, not a curated record. NCBI's taxonomy places the organism in Eukaryota, Viridiplantae, Streptophyta, Magnoliopsida, Asterales, Asteraceae. The transcript has 3 exons.
GUCGACAAAUACACAGGAGAAAAAGGGUUCUUCUUCUCAAAACCCUAAACUCAUCAAAUUGAUCAAAAUCAAGAGAAAUCGAGCUAGGAAAUUGGGGCUUUAACUAAAUUUGUGAUCACCUAAGCUAGGGAAUCACAAGUUUGACGCUUGACAAGCUAGGUGGAGACUUGGAAAGGAAGCAGGUCAAACGAAUCAAGUAUGGAGGAAAAGCUUAUUUAGGAUGCAAGGUUAAUAGGAUGCUAUGCUAUGAUGAAACAAGCUAGGAACUCUAGAAACACGCUAAAUAAAAUCUGAGUUGUCGGAAUAGUAUUGUUUAUGAGACUCGCUAUCUGUAAUGACUGUUAUUACUUUAUGUGUUAGUAG